GGUUUCCCAGAGAAGUUGUGGUUUCCCCAUCAAGGGAAGUACUUAAGGUCAGUUUAGAUAGGGCCUUGAGCAGCCUGAUCUAGUGAAAGCUGUCCCUGCCCCUGGUAGGGGGUUGGACUACAUGGUCUUUACAGGUGCCUUACACAUCAGACCAUUCUGCCAGGGACUACUGAAUUAACAGAUAAAUACCAUACAUGGUAGUGUACCUGUAGACAACUGCAACUUCUAUUAAUAUCUUGACAUUUUACUAAUCCUGCCAUUUUUGGGUCAUCAUUUUAAAAUAUUUUCAAGUUACCUGCAAAACUAGUAUAUAAUUUGGGUUUUCUAAAUGAAAACCUGCAUUCUAUUCCCAGAAAAUGAGGAUUUUAUGCUAGAAGUUUUCUGCUAUGACUGUGUUCUCAAAUCUCUUACUAUAUCAGUGCAGGUUUUUCUUGCAUCAGCAAUCUUUUGAGUUCCCCUUAUUUCUGCAGUGGAGAUUUUUUAAAAAUACUGUAUUUAAAAAUACAAUUGCUUUGAAGCAAACACCCUGCUAGGCACUUCACAGAUACCAGCUACAGACUUUCUUCUUAGCAGGGAGAGAUUCUUCUUCAGAUCAGGGAUUUAGCUUGAGGAACUUUAAACAGAUCUAUUAGCACACUUGGCACUGUUAGUAUUAUUAAAACAGAAAUAUCAACAGUGGAUUAAAUUUACACAGCAAUGUGUCUGGUCAUGGACAAACACAAACUGUGAACCAGUUUGGGGAAAACUCAUUGAGUAUUCUGAAAGCUACCUCAUAUGCCAAAUAUAUCUUUAUUAAGUUUUACUGCAUGCAAUUAGGUUGCAUGCAUACAUCAUUUGGUAUUUAGCUAGAUUGCAGGGUUAAAAUAAAAAAACCCAAAUGUUUAAAUAUCUGUAGAAAUAUACAGAAAAGAGAUCUGGACAAACACAUUCAGAUAAUUUGUUUACAGUAUAUUUUUUCCAAAUUCUCAUUCCUGAAGCACAACUCAAUUCCUUCGCACAUAGCUGAGAUAAUAGCAAAGAUGCAAUUUUGCUGUUCAGCAAAUAAGUAACAAAUGUCCUACUUCUUGAAAAGAACAAAUAAUGACACUUUUGUUACCUGACAUUGCAGAGCAGGACAGCUGUAACACAUUACACACUUGCAACAACUACACACGUCAGAAAGAGGGGGCAAAAAAAUAACAUAGUUUGACAACUCUGCCACUUACAUGAGAAUUGAAUUUUGACCCCAUUUCAUUCCAUAAUCAUAUUCUCAAUUCUUGAGUAAUUUUUGCCUUCCAACUACACGAGCCCUGGCCCCUCAUUACUUCUCCCGAGUACCAUUCUCAGCUGUGUCUGAGCAGGGGGGGACCAAAGCCAAGGAUUCACAUUGAUAUAAUUAUGCAAGAGGCACAAGAGGGUCAAAGGACUGUAGGAACAAUAAAAAAACCCAGGAUGAAAUUAUUUGUAAGCUGAAUAUCCCAUUGCAAAAAGAAACUAUGACCAUUUUAUAUAUUCAUUUGCAUCAGAAACAUUUUUUAAGAUAAAAACACAUAUUUGUUUGACAGCUAUUUGGUUUGCAGAAUUAUUUCAAUUUUUUCCUUGUGUUGCUGAGGAUUUGUAGUCACAUAAACAUGUGCAAUGUACGUACAAAAACCACCUCUUAGGAAAUAGUGCUGUAGAAUAUAUAAGUUUACAAGCGAAGCCUAAGAAGUUAAAACUUCUCUAAGUUAAAAGUAUCUGACACUUGCAUGAAAUGGCUUGGCUGCUCUCACUGCUGCAUUGAAUGAGCACCAUAAAAAUCUUCAUUAAUAGAUGGAAAAGUUCCAGUACCUAGGUAAAAUGAGUCCAGAACCCGAGAAUUCAGAAAUCCUUUUGACAUAUGGCCCCUUUAGACCCUUUUAGUACAGCUAAAGCAUAACAAACCUGAAUAGGAAUCAGAGUGAACAACUUUCAAAUAAGUUUUUUUCUUAAAAAUACUGAAAACUCGCAUUUGUAUCUGUCAGGAAGAGCUGAAAAUGAUGAGCAAUUAAAAAAAAAGGAAUGUGUCUCCAGCUUGGACUGUAAGCAGAGAAAGACACAGAAUUGAAAUGUUCAGGAAUAGAACUUUAUAUAUUUAAAAUGCAAAUUACCACAAUUCUAGGCUCAAUAACAGAAUAAAAGUCUGCCUUUACCCCAGCAGAAAGUCCAAAAAAUGGGACACUUUGCCUGUUUUCAUCUCCUCUUACCAAACUGCAAGGUCCUCUGCUCUGGUUCUUACACAGCCUGCUCCAAAACCUUUUACCUCUGACAAGUGGCCUGCCGACAUCUCAUCUCUGCAGUUAAAUUAUUUAUUGCCUUACAGUUAUUUACAGUCUGUUCCUAGGGCACAAAUUAUGGUACUUGCAGCUGCAAAACUCCAUGAACAGCUGGAAUCCACAGGUGAUUUCACAUUAAAUACUGUUUACUCUCUACUCUCACAACCAACCCAAAUGUGUACAUGAAGAUGUGUUUUGCAGUGCUUAAAAAAGUGAAGCAUGAAUUGUGGGAAGGAGCACAAGGCCCCAGCUGGCAUUCCCACGAAGAUGGAGAACUGUGAAAUAAAGGUGUCAAAAGAACGAGCCAUAGCUGUGUUCCUGCUGCCUCUAUCAGAUCUGCCUCUUUUAGAUCCAUACUUUCCUUUAAACUAUCAGAUCUGGGCUUGAGAGGAUCAAGAUUAGCAGAACACAGGAUGGAGAGCUGGUGUAUAAGUUCAAAAUCCUGUAUAACACAGGGAUUCUGAUUCAAGAGUCCAUUGAGUGCAAGGCAGGCACAAGAGAGUGAAAUUCUUUUAAAGACCGCAGUAGGGUGGCUGGUGAUUGGCAGCUCUUGAAGAUACCAGAGAGAUUCUUGAUGGCAGAUGGAGACUUUUGUCUGAAGGCUUUGGAUCAGAAUUUCUUGGACAGUGUUCUCUGAAAUAUUUCUAAUUCUAAGCACAGGGAUAUACAGACAGGCAGGCAAGCAAGCAGAAAGAAUCCCCUCACAUAAAGAGAAAUAGUUUAAAUUUAACAAGAAACAAGUGAAAGCUCUUCAAGAAAUAUGGAAUCGGAAGAAAAAUAUGUUCCGUUGUCUGGAACUUAAUUUUUUAAAGAAGCUUUAAAACUAAGCAUCAAUAAAGAUAAAAAUAAACAAACAAAAAAGAAGAAAAAGGAGUUUGAGGUAAUUCAUUCCUUGCAAGGAUUGUAAUAAAGAAAAGGCUGUAAAAACAAUAAAAAAAAUUGAGGCAAGCAGGGAAAUAAAUGUUAAAAGUAUAAAAUUCAGUCAAAUGGGGAAAUAAAAAUAAGCAGCUGGAUUUAGACUAUCAGUACUGGUAGGUUUACAUUAAAUUACUUUUCAUAUAAUGCUACUGUGUAAUUAUAGUUUUACAAAAUCCUGGAUGAUGAAAAUGCUCAGUUUUGAAUAACACAUAUUUAUGAUGAAUAAUAUACUUUUAUAAGACAAAUAUAUAUUUAAUAUGCCAGUUGGAAACUUGAUAGAAAGAAAAGAAUCAUUAUGCUGUCUGUUAUUGUAGAACAAUAAUAUUGGAAUGAGAGAGUAUACUGCAUUUGUGAACAGGAGAGGGGUUAUGUCAGAAAAUAAUAGUCAAAUAAGCCUUUAUGUCCCAUUGUGUCAGUCGUCACAGAUUGGAAUUCCUGUUUGAAUUAGGAAAAAUGUAAUGGUAGAGUUAUUGAAGGACCAAAUUGUUAAAGGAGAAAUAUGCUCUGAAAAUGAUGAAAAAUAUUAUAAUAGUUGUGAAUUAAAAUAAGAAAAAAAAUUAUGUAAAUCUUCAGUGAAUCCUCCUUAAUCAAAGUGAACAUGGGAAAUUAUAAGCUGGACUCUAAAACUGCCACUGUGUAUUAGAGCAGUUAGAGAAUUCACAAGAGAACAAAUUACUUUUAUAUCAGUAGCAUCCUGGUUCAGGACAGAAGCCUGAAGUGGGGGCCAUGCAGCAGUGGAAUCUGAUAACUCUUGGAGGAUACUCCUUCUUUAAAGGUAGAAUCCAUACAUACAGGAUGAAGAAAGUUAGAACAAGAUAAGAUAAACUGCUGAAAGGAUAAAACACUUCCAAGCAAAAAUUAAUUAAAAAUGUCUUAAUAGAUACUUACAUUAAAAAUAUACCACUAACCAGAAGGUGGGAAACAAAAUGCAUGAGGAACACACACAUAAAGUCACACACACACAAAGAAACAAACAAAAAACAAACAAAACCACAAAUGAAACAAAAAACCCAACUAACCAAACAAAAAACCCCCAAAAAACAGAAAUCCAAAAACAAACCCUCAAGACAGGUAUCAUGGUUAAAUAGCAAAGAAAAUACAUAUUAAGAACAAAAAAUCAACUUUCCAAAAAUGGAGGCUUUGCAACAGAAAGGCGCAGAAGAGGAUAAAAUGUCAAGUGACAUAUAAAGCUGCAAUGAGGGAAGAUAGAUGAGAGUAAAAAAAAAAAAAGAAAUAGAAGAAAAAUAUUUUAGGGAGAAUCUUGCUAGAGGCUUCAAAACAAAUAAUGAAAAUUUUCAAAUACAUCAGAAGAAGGCAACCUGCUGGAGAAUUUACAAGGCUGAUUAAUGAUAUCAUUUUAAAAAAAGCAUUCAAGCAGGAUAAGAAAAACAGCUAAACCAUAUUAAUUUUAUGUACUGUUCAAUAAACACAGGCUAGAAAGUUUCCUAAACAAGAUUCACACAUAUUCCUCAAAGGAUGAGAUGAACAACUGUCCCGAAUGUAUAGAAUAGAAUAGAAUAGAAUAGAAUAGAAUAGAAUAGAAUAGAAUAGAAUAGAAUAGAAUAGAAUAGAAUAGAAUAGAAUAGAAUAGAAUAGAAUAGAAUAGAAUAUUUCAGUUUGGAGGGAUCUACAACAAUCAUCUUGUCCAGCAGCUUGUCCAGUUCAGGAUUAACCAAAAGUUCAGAUGUUUUAUUAAGGGCAUUGUCCACUUGACUCUUGAACACUGACAGGCUUGGGGCAUUGACCACCAUUGACCACUGAUCUAGGAAACCUGUUCCAGUCUUUGAUCACCCACUCUGUAAAUAAAUGCUUCCAAAUGUCAAGUCUGAAUUUCUCUGGAUGCAAUUUUGAACCAUCCCUGGAUACUAGGGAGCAGACAUAAGUAUCUCUUUUUCCACUUUUUUUUUUUUUUUUUUUUUUUUUAGAUUUUUUUUUUGAGAUUUUGGAAGAAAUGGGUGCAAGGAAGAGCAGCAGUUUUCCAGGACUGGUUGGUGGUUGGUUUGGUCCACCCAAAAAUUCUUAAGAGACAAGAAAAUGAAACUGAUUAAUCACCUUUUGUUACUAUAUGAAACAUUCCUUUUCUUACGAAAGAAAUGACGAUUUCUUUUCUUAUGAAAGAAAUGAGGUAACCAAUGCUAAUGAAACCAGCCUGGUUUACCAGAAGGGAUAUGGAAUUCUGCAUAGUCUUUUUGAAAGCAAUUUUUAUUUGGCAAACAAUAUAACAAGACAUGCCAAACAUUAUUAUCUAUCCUUUAGGGGGAAAAAAGAGGUAAAGAAUCUGAUUUAAUCUCUGCACUCCACAGUUUGAGUUUUCAGAAUUGUCACUUCUUAAAUUUAACACUGUUGUAAACAGAAUGCUGGAUUUGUCAUGGGAAGUAACAACGGCCAUGCAAGCUGAAAACACCUGUCUACCAAUAAUAUAAUUUAUAAGUUCAGUUGCACUUUUCUUCAUAAAAAAGAAAAGAGAGGUACAAAAAACCCCAUUUUUCUUUAUCAUCUUCUGUAAGUUAAAAAAAAAAAAAAAUUAAUGGUCUCAAAAGUUAUAAUUUUUCCCUUUUUUUAAACUCCAAAGUUACCAGAAGACCAAAUUUCAUGUAUUAGAUAAUGAAGAAUCGUUUGCUUUUCAGUAUAGUACUCCAAGGAAAGAGAUGUUGGGAAGAUGAAGUGAACAAAAUGAAGUCUGUGCUCUUGCAUUUUUUAAUGUAAAUUGGGGGGUUUAAAACUAAGUAUUUGUCCUAAUAUAAAAUACAAUGCUCUUGAGCUAUUAGCACUGAAGCAGCCAGAAUCAUGAAAGAGGAAAGGGAUUUACAUUCUGUUGUAGGUUUGGCUUGGAUAGAGUUUAUUUUCUGCCUGCUAGCUGGUACAGUGCUGUGUUUUGAAUUCAGACUGAGAAUAUUGUUGCUAACUGAUGUUGCUAACAGUGAUGUUUUAGUUGUUAAAGAAGAAUUUAAUCUAAAUCCAGGACUUUUCAGUUUCCCAGGUGCACAAGAAUCUGAGGGGGAAACAUGGCCAGGACAGCUGACCUCAGCUGACCAAGGGAGAUCCCAUACCAUGGAGCAUCAUGUCCAGUACAGAAACUGGGGGGAACUGGUCAGGAGCUGCCUGGGGACAGGCUGGGCACUGGCCAGUGCAUGCUUGGAGCAGCAUGUGGACAGGAACAGAGUGACAGGCAGCAGCAAGGGAUGGGGACGUGCCACCUUUGUCUGCAGGACAGUGGCCUCACCAAGCAAGACCAGUCCCACUGCAGCUCAGUGGGGUGAGUGGCACAGGCUGGGCAUGGCAGCCUGCUCAGCCCAGAGUCCAGGUGACCAGAGAAGUCCAUGGCAAUGAAGCAUGUCCACGAUUUGUCUGGGAAGUCAGCUCUCAGGACCAGGGUCAAGCUCAGCAAAUCCAAGGCACGUUUGAAGUGGCAAAGACCAGGACAGGUUCUGAACUUAAAUGCAGUUCCUAAGGAAAGGGUCAAUAGAGCUCUUUUUCAAACAAGCCAGCAAGUUUACACAGCUGCUCCAUAUCAGAGCUGACCUCUAACAUCACUGACCAAACUUCUGGAGAGGCAGUGUCUGCACUCAGGUCCCUGCCACAGACCUUGUUACACAGCUCACAGCCUUAACGUGACAGCGUGUCACCAUCUGUUAUGUCCACCACAGCCACACGCCACAUUACAAGCCCUGUCAAGGAGCUGUGCACACCAUGUGAGCACAGAACAGCCCUGCAGCUGGGCAGGGUGAAAAGCUGAUUCUUAAUUCUUUUUUUGUCCCCUGGCAGUAACCGUUUUCUCACUCCAGCUGUGUUCGGCUGGUGAAUCAUCCUCAGUGCUAAAGGUGUAAGAAGCACUCACACAAACAUAAGGAGCAGACAUUACAUAGCUGAAUUGUCAAAACUUCCGUGAAUGUCUCAGAUUUUCGUGAAGCAAGAAUCACAAGUCUCAUAUUUAAUGCAUGAAGGGAAAUAACUUAAAAUUCCUUCUAUGCAAAAACCUUAGAAUGAAAGUGUCACGUACUGAAAAAUCGUGCUCUACAGUGAGGACUUAUAUAAAAAAGUUCCUCUGUCCAUAAAACACGUGGAGUUGGUAGGACUGUGAGGUAGGACUAAGAGGAAAAUACAGCUCCUCUCUGUGUUGGCAAAGAGCCCUUGAAAAGCCAAAAUCUGUAUCUGCAGCACUUGGCAGUGGACAGCAGUAUCCUGACUGCACACUGUUCAGAGACUCACUGAAAGUGAACAGAUCUAGACUAAGUCAUUUUGAUACUUCUGAGAUAAAAAGAGAUAAUUAGAUCCAUGUUUUGAAAAAACAACAAACACAAGCCAUCACAUCAUUCUCGAUAGUUAUUAUUUGAUAUGUGUGACUGCCUUUUCUUGUUCUGUGUCAUCUGAAACAUUUAAGGGCAGUACUUGACAGAUUGCUUAUGUGCUGCUGAUACCAUGACACAAAUGGGGAUUACACCAAAAAAAAUGCCCAAAAUGCCUAACACAGU
Taeniopygia guttata (zebra finch) is the source of this 7663-nucleotide long non-coding RNA. The record is from Ensembl. Lineage: Eukaryota; Metazoa; Chordata; Aves; Passeriformes; Estrildidae.